RNAcentral lists this transfer RNA (57 nucleotides) under Orthopagus splendens. RNAcentral's name for it is "tRNA-Ser". The record is from RNAcentral. Lineage: Eukaryota; Metazoa; Arthropoda; Insecta; Hemiptera; Dictyopharidae.
AAGAAUAUUUAAAGGAAAGCUGCUAACUAAUCCUAAAGUAAAAUUACUAUAUUCUUA